AUGGGUUUUGGCAUCUCUUUCCCUAGUCUGUCUUCAUCAAGAUCAAUUAAACUGCCUUUAGGUUCUUCUCCUGGCAAAAUUACUGACUCCAGCUUCUCUGAUUCCUCUGUGAUAGUUUUACUUGCAAAGCUCGUUGAAGCUGGUUCUGGCUGUUGUGGCACCUUAUCUGUUGCAUCAACAGACAAGAGAACAGAAGAGGAAAUCCCCCCUGCCCCCCGCUCAGGGCACUUUUUUUUUUUUUUUUUAAGCUUGGUUCUAUUUAUUUAUUUUUUUGAAAUUUUCUGUGUGUUUCCAACAUUACCUUCCAUGUCUUCAUCCUUACCCUACUCACCCUUCACCCACAAAAUAAGAGUAGUUCACAUACAGAUACAAACUGAUUCUAUUUAAGAGAACAAGGAAACUGAAGAUAAAAGUGAGAAAGGGAGGAUAACGAAAGGCGUUAGGAAUGAAAUGGGGGCUGAAAUAAUGCCAGCAGCAGGUUAAAACUAGAGUUUAAGAAUUUUAGCACUAAAAAAGAGAAAAAAAAGUACAGAAAGAUCCAGCAGGAUCUACUUUGAGUCAGUAGGAUCAAGUCAAGGGUAUUUUUCAAAGAUAAGAAGAUCUAUGUAUGCUAUAAAGUUGAGAGGGACUAAACAGAAAGAGAAUAAAGUUGUUAGAAUGAGGGGGAAGACCUCAAAAAAGUGCGAUUCUGAGAGGUUAACCUUAGGUAUGUCAUAUAAUCUAAUCAGGUCCAUAAUUUUUAAAAUUCCUUUUUUUAAUUGCUUGGAAAGGCUAUUUCAAAAAAGAGUUUAUUAUUAUCACUGUACUUCUUAGAACAGAUAAUGCCAUAUGUCAAACUAUCAAAUCACACAGUGCAUAGCACUUUAAAACUGUAUUUAAUAUUCACAAGAACCAGGUAACUAGAAUAAUAUAAACACACUGUGCAAUUUAGCAAACCAAACACCAAAGCAGGAGAUUCAAUUUCACAUUUAUAAACUCUUACAAUGUUGGAUUAUAAUUCAAGAUUAAAAUAUUUCAAAUUUGAUGUUUUCCUACAAAUGCCAAAUUUCAACCCUUUAAUGCCUUUUCAUCUCAAGAUUUACAAAUGUCAUCAAUGCGGAAUCUGUGAGAACAGUAUUGCCUCUUGAAGUCAGUUUCCACCAACCUAAAGAAGUAUUCAACUACAUGUAAAUUAAUUUUAGAGAAUAGAAUAUCUCACAGCAUUUAAUUUUAAAAGGACAAUCAAUCUAUAGUCAUAAAAUCAAGCUCAAGCUUAUAUCAAUUAUCAAUAUUUAAGCAUAAAAAAACUAAUUUCAUUUCAAAGAAUCAUCACAUGAAGAAAGUAUUUUCUUCCACCUACAACUCAUGAAACUAAAUUUCAGCCAACUAUAAGCAUGAGGGAUGCAUGUAGACUUCUCAUGCAUCUACAUGAGCAGAAACAUUUAACACCUAAAUUUGUUUAUUAUUUCUUACAAUGAAAGAAGUUUAAAUCAUGUUUUAAAAAUUAAAAUCUUAUGACUAAAGACUUAUAAACCACUUAGGAUAUAAAUGUAUUACUUUUACAUGAAAUAUGAGCUGAAAUUAUUCAAGUGCUUCUGUCAGUACUAGAUAAGUUGGAUGGUAAACAGAAAGUAGUUGUGGGAAAACUACCUUCUACACAGAUGUAUUUAUUUCUCCAUUCAAUACCAUCAGGCCUGGGAAUGGCUUUGGCUUCACGAACUGAAAUCAUCUGACUAUUCCAGCUGGAAAAAGAAAAACAUUCAUGUUGUUGUACAGCAGAAACUAACAACAUGGUAAAGCAAUCAGACUCCAACUCUGAAGAAAAGAAAAACAUAAAUCAUAUUAACUAUUUUCUUAACUUCCCUUUUACUAUUUUUAUUAUAUCAAUAGUUAGGCACACUCUGAUUUUCUCAUAGAACUGAAAUCUGCAUCAGCUCUCUGCAGCUCAAGUAUCAUUUCCCCUUCUCUGCUUCUUUUGUCUCUGUAACACUUAGAUUUCUAAUCAUUUGCUUAUGUAUGUCAUUUAUUGUGUCUCCUCUAACUAGAUGAAAGCUCCAAGAUCCUGAGCUAUUUAUUUUUGUGUUUUUUUACUGUUCAUUUAGUUGCUUAGUAUCAACUAGGUACUCAAUAAAUAUUUUUUGAAUAAAUAAAGUAAUAAGAAAAAUAAUCUGUAAGUAAGCAAAAAACUGUUUCUUGUUAAACCCCAGUAAGAAUUUUUUAAGAGAGGUAAUCUUGUGUUGUUUUUGGUAUCUUGUUCAGGUGUACCUCUACUGAUAUGAUUUAUGGUAGAAAUUUUAGAAAAAUGAAUACUCUAUGAAAACAUACUGUUAUUGCUGUGUAUCAGAUGUAGCUGUUUAUAGUGACGUUUUAGUCAAGCAAAACAAUUUUAUCAGCAUGCCUGAAGGUCGACUGUCCAGUCUUUAGUAAGGCCUAACCUUACACUGUUGUUUUUUUAAUUUAUAAUUUUGUAUAACAUUCCUUUUUUCAAAAAACAUUUUAAAAAUAUAUAACUACUCAGCUUGUAUUCAAGAGAAAAAUGAGUCUGGGGGAAGCUGGUAUCUUUUUUUUUUUCAGUUGUUUUCAGCUUUUUCCAUCAUUCCAGUAGGAGGAAGACGAUACUUUGGGACGUUCCAAAUGCAACACUCAUCCUACUCUUCCUCUAUUUAUUAGAGAAUCCAUAAGGAUAUAACCGUGGGUCCAACAUGGCAUUUGUUUCUGAAAACUGACCAAUUUCUAUGGUAAACAUGCAAGAAAACACUGCAUCUCGUGAAGUCUCAUAAUUGAAAAUGAUCCUCAAAGUAUGACUAUUUUUUCUUAUUAAGAGUACAGUUUAGGAAUAGCUUGCAAAGACAGCUUUAAGUUCUUUAAACAUAUUUAUGCUUUUUAAAAGUAAGUGGGCUGUGAAAAAGAAAUACUUAGUAUUGGUUACAGUAACAUGCUGUAGGUCCUUAAAUGUACAGCAGCUCCGUUAGUAUGGACUUCAAACAGAAAAGAAGUACGGCUCUACUGGUCCAAGUGUGUUUCCAAAAUCUUCUUCAAGGUAACACCGUCAAGGGGAGAGUUCUAUAACCACGUUGCCAAACCAAACAAGAUUACAGCAGAAUUACACUUUGUGCUACUUAACUUUAUUCCAUGUAAGACAACUUCCACUACUAAAAAUGAACUUUUUCCUGAGACUCCUUGUUUCAAAUGUCAACUUAUAAGACAGGUGAAUCUGCAGUAGAAUUAAUAUUGAAAACAUUAUGUUAAAAAAAAAAAGAGGUGGACUAAUUUUUUCCUCUCAGACAAGUUUAAAAUACUGAACCACCACAUCCUGCUGUUAAACUAAAACUUUUACUUCCUUAAAUGAAAGAACUCUUAUUAAACUCAACCCCGAAUUUCUAAACUGGAUCACAGAAACAUACGUGACACAUUCAUGUUCACUUUUUUAUCCCUAACCAGAUAUUAUCUAAUCUUCACCUAUAAUCAGCCCAAAAAUUAUUAUUUACAUGACUGCAUCAUCUGAAGUACUUCACAGAGGGGAAAAAAGACUAUUUGAAUCACUAUACUAUUUAGACUGAUUCAAAUGACUGCAUUUUUAAAGAACUUUUAAAAAUAUCUAAAUUAUUAAAUAUUUCAAAUCAUAAAACAUGAUAACAACUUUUAUACAAUUUUUAAUCUUAUAGGUGAAUUUCAAUGUAGAAUUCAAAUGGUAAUUUGGAAAUAUUUUUCCUACACAUUUCCUUCUUUAAAACAGGCUCUAAACUAAGCCUUCUGUCAUACCAUAUUUCUCUACUGUAACUUCCUUGCCAUAUGAAAAUCUGUUAUUGUCACUCAAUAAUUAAAGAAUAAAAUAAGACAAUCUAUAAAAGAGUAAUGUUUCAGGAAAAAAAAACACCAGAUAUUGGACUUAAUUUAAUCUACAACAGAUUCAGUUCAGUUCAGUUGCUCAGUCAUGUCCGACUCUUUGCAACCCCAUGAAUUGCAGCACGCCAGGCCUCCCUGUCCAUCACCAACUCCUGGAGUUCACUCAGACUCAUGUCCAUCAAGUCGGUGAUGCCAUCCAGCCAUCUCAUCCUCUGCCAUCCCCUUCUCCUCCUGCCCCCAAUCCCUCCCAGCAUCAGAGUCUUUUCCAAUGAGUCAACACUUCCCAUGAGGUGAUCAAAGUACUGGAGUUUCAGCUUUAGCAUCAUUCCUUCCAAAGAAAUCCCAGGGUUGAUCGCCUUCAGAAUGGACUGGUUGGAUCUCCUUGCAGUCCAAGGGACUCUCAAGAGUCUUCUCUAACACCACAGUUCAAAAGCAUCAAUUCUUCGGCGCUCAACCUUCUUCACAGUCCAACUCUCACAUCC
This 4307-nucleotide long non-coding RNA is filed under the name Ovis aries (sheep). Its description in RNAcentral is "lncRNA (ENSOARG00000026690.1)". The record is from RNAcentral. Lineage: Eukaryota; Metazoa; Chordata; Mammalia; Artiodactyla; Bovidae.